This 215-nucleotide ribosomal RNA is filed under the name uncultured soil bacterium. RNAcentral's name for it is "partial 16S ribosomal RNA". It matches the Rfam family "Bacterial small subunit ribosomal RNA", at positions 26 to 240 of the family's 1533-position model. The record is from RNAcentral.
AGAUUGAACGCUGGCGGCAUGCCUUACACAUGCAAGUCGAACGGCAGCACGGGAGCAAUCCUGGUGGCGAGUGGCGAACGGGUGAGUAAUAUAUCGGAACGUGCCCAGUCGUGGGGGAUAACGCAGCGAAAGCUGUGCUAGUACCGCAUACGAUCUAUGGAUGAAAGGCGGGGGAUCGCAAAGACCUCGCGCGUAUUGGAGCGGCCGAUAUCAGA